This is a small nuclear RNA of Camelus dromedarius (Arabian camel), 106 nucleotides long. Lineage: Eukaryota; Metazoa; Chordata; Mammalia; Artiodactyla; Camelidae. The record is from Ensembl.
GUGUCACUUUGGCCACACAUAUACUAAAAUGGGAGACACACAGAGAAGAUUAGCAUGGCCCUCACACAAAGACGACAUGCAAAUUCAUGAAACAGUCCAUAUUUUU